RNA transcript from Ziziphus jujuba (common jujube), 1741 nucleotides. RefSeq lists it as uncharacterized. The record is from RefSeq and is a predicted model, not a curated record. NCBI's taxonomy places the organism in Eukaryota, Viridiplantae, Streptophyta, Magnoliopsida, Rosales, Rhamnaceae. The transcript is spliced from 5 exons.
AAGUCCAACAUAGGCUAGCCGACGUACCUCGAAGGCCCGCUACUAGUAGGCCCAUUUAUCUGUUUAUUAUUAAUUUUUCCCCAGGAAAGGAGAAUAUUUAAAUUUAGUUACUCUGUGCACCGAUUUUAUUUUAUUUAUUUUUUAUAUUUUUAUUUCUUUAUUCUGUGUACCAUGGCACAGUACUUUGUGGUAAUGAAUCUCGGCGUGUGCUGAAUUCAGACCAAAAUCCAAGCGGAACUCCUCUCCUCUCUAAGAGGUUCCUCUUGUCGUCCAAAGGUCGGCAUCAUUUUCUUUUUAAAAUUAAUAUAUUUAUAUCCCAUUUUUUUAUUUUCUUUUUGCUCUCUCCCGUCCGGAUGAAAACCCUAGGCGUAGCUUCUGGAGAGUGCACGAAUUUAGGAAAUUUACAGAAUAAAAAUUGUAUCUAAUCUGGCUUCAGAAACGGCUCGAUUCUUGGAUCAUCUUUGAGAUCUUCUAUGGGUUAUAUUUGGACGCAGUAACCUGCGGUUGAGGAAAAGAAGCAGAUAUGGUUGUCUCAUUUGAUUUGCAGGAUUUCAUUAUUCGUGCUCGGGUUCUGAAGCUGUAUAGGCAAGCACUGAGGACUGCUCGUAGAGCACCUCCUCAUGCCCGAGCUGAGCUUAGACAGACAAUAAGACAGGAGAUCGAGAAUAACCGGAACUGCAAUGAUAGGCAGCGAGUUCGGUUUUUGAUUAGCGAAGGAUUACAGAGAUUGAAAGGUCUGAAUGAGAUGUUUGAUAUGCAGGGCCACUCUUAGUGUGAGAAACUGCAGUUGGCAUGUGUUACGAUGUCUCCUUCUUCUUAAGGGAUAUUGAUUUUGUUAGGGCCAAAGCUGCCCAUUUUGGUAUUUCUACAUAUUUUCAAUUAACUUGCGCCUGUAAUCCAUAAUGAGCUGAACUGGUUCGAUUUAAAUUUCUAACAAAGAACUUGCUCUGCGUUGUUUAUGUUGCCUAUCCAGUAACCUGCUUGUUUGUUGAAAUACAUAGUACAGUUUCAAUUCAUGCUUUUAACUAAUUAUUGAUUUUUUUGCUCUGUGUAUUAGCUUUUUGAGAACGUGGCAAUAGAAUUGGCGGGUGAGAAUGAUGGACAAGAUGGAUUAAUCAUCAUGUAAAGGUGGAAGAGAAAGAAGAAAAAGAAGGGAAUAAGCAGAUCUGAGGUAAAAAACGAGCGGGCUAAAUUGAAAUUUUCCAAGGGAUUGAGGGAUUGGACGUAUUUGGAGGCUUAAAAUGGUUCCUACAGAGUCUCCGAGAUUAGUUCCAUUAAAACAAUUGAUGCCACUUUACCCAUGGAAGACUGCAGCCCCACCGUUCCCUGAAAACCAACACGAACAAUAUAUGAAGGUUAAAGAUGGAGACAGGGUAUUUUGGGCACCCAAAAGAAUGCUAAAUCAUGGAGCCAAUGACUCAGAUAUGGAGAUCCCGUACGAAGGAGUUUUCGAAUUUAUCGACAAGUGUAUUGUCAAGAAUGUUAAGCGAUGGAUUGAUAGGCUAGUUGGUGAAAUAUUUGGCUUACCAAAGUAUGAUCCUUGCAAAAAUAGAUUUAGGAGAUAAUAGUUAUUAUGAAAAUUCCUUCCUUCAUACCAUAUGAUGUAAAUUUUUACAUUUUUACCAAAAAAUGUAAAGUUCAGUGUUAAUUUUGCAUUUUGAUUUUUCAUGUAAAUAUAUAUAUAUAUUUUUUUGGACUCUUGUUCAUGAGCAACAUAAUAUACGAAAGGUGAUUUUUGAAA